GAUGAACGCUGGCGGCGUGCCUAAUACAUGCAAGUCGAGCGAACAGACGAGGAGCUUGCUCCUCUGACGUUAGCGGCGGACGGGUGAGUAACACGUGGAUAACCUACCUAUAAGACUGGGAUAACUUCGGGAAACCGGAGCUAAUACCGGAUAAUAUAUUGAACCGCAUGGUUCAAUAGUGAAAGACGGUUUUGCUGUCACUUAUAGAUGGAUCCGCGCCGCAUUAGCUAGUUGGUAAGGUAACGGCUUACCAAGGCAACGAUGCGUAGCCGACCUGAGAGGGUGAUCGGCCACACUGGAACUGAGACACGGUCCAGACUCCUACGGGAGGCAGCAGUAGGGAAUCUUCCGCAAGGGGCGAAAGCCUGACGGAGCAACGCCGCGUGAGUGAUGAAGGUCUGCGGAUCGUAAAACUCUGUUAUUAGGGAAGAACAAAUGUGUAAGUAACUAUGCACGUCUUGACGGUACCUAAGCAGAAAGCCACGGCUAACUACGU
RNAcentral lists this ribosomal RNA (496 nucleotides) under uncultured bacterium. RNAcentral describes it as "partial 16S ribosomal RNA". It matches the Rfam family "Bacterial small subunit ribosomal RNA", at positions 28 to 506 of the family's 1533-position model. The record is from RNAcentral.